UGGGGAAUAUUGCACAAUGGAGGGAACUCUGAUGCAGCGACGCCGCGUGAGUGAUGAAGGAAUUCGUUUCGUAAAACUCUGUUCUAUGGGAAGAAAAGGACUGUACCAUAGGAGAAAGCUCCGGCUAAAUACGUGCCAGCAGCCGCGGUAAUACGUAUGGAGCGAGCGUUGUCCGGAAUUAUUGGGCGUAAAGGGUGCGCAGGCGGCUUUACAAGUUGGAUGUGAAAUAUUGUGGCUCAACCACAAACGUGCAUCCAAAACUGCAAAGCUUGAGUUAAGGAGAGGUAAGUGGAAUUCCUGGUGUAGCGGUGGAAUGCGUAGAUAUCAGGAGGAAUACCGGUGGCGAAGACGACUUACUGGACUUAAACUGACGCUCAGGCACGAAAGCGUGGGGAGCAAACAGG
RNAcentral lists this ribosomal RNA (404 nucleotides) under Fusobacteriota bacterium. Its description in RNAcentral is "Fusobacteria bacterium partial 16S ribosomal RNA". It matches the Rfam family "Bacterial small subunit ribosomal RNA", at positions 355 to 776 of the family's 1533-position model. Lineage: Bacteria; Fusobacteriati; Fusobacteriota. The record is from RNAcentral.